UCGUGAUAUGCUUGUCUCAAAGAUUAAGCCAUGCAUGUGUAGGUAUAACCGAUUAUACCGGAAAACUGCGAAUGGCUCGGUAAAUCAGUUAUAGUUUAUUUGAUAGUGCAAACUACUCGGAUAACCGUAGUAACACUAGAGCUAAUACGUGCGUAAAUCCCGACUCUUGGAAGGGACGUAUUUAUUAGAUAAAAGGCUAACCGGGUUUUCCCGACCAGCGAUGAAUCAUGGUAACUUCACGGAUUGCAUGGCCUUUGUGCCGGCGACGUGUCAUUCAAGUUUCUGCCCCAUCAUGGUUUCGACUGUAAUGUAUUGGAUUACAGUGCCGAUAACGGGUAGCGGAGGAUUAGGGUUCGAUUCCGGAGAGGGCGCCUGAGAAAUGGCGACCACAUCCAAGGAAGGCAGCAGGCGCGCAAAUUACCCAAUCCCAACUCAGGGAGGUAGUGACAAGAAAUAACAAUGCGGAGCCACAGGUUCUGCAAUUGGAAUGAGAACAAUUUAAACCACUUAACGAGUACCUAUUGGAGGGCAAGUCUGGUGCCAGCAGCCGCGGUAAUUCCAGCUCCAAUAGCGUAUAUGUAAGUUGUUGCGAUUAAAAAGCCCGUAGCUGAACCUCGGGCAGCCCUGACGGUCCGCCAAUCGGUGUGUACUGUCGUGGGCUGCCUUUCUGCUGGGGACCGUAUCCUUGCAUUCACUUGCCGGGAACGGGACCUAGCAAGGUUACUUUGAGUAAAAUAGAGUGUUCAAAGCAAGCUAUCGCUCUGAAUACACUAGCAUGGGAUAACACGACAUGACCGAUGGUCUAUCUUGUUGGCCUGUAGACCCGUUGGUAAUGGCUAAUAGGGACGGUCGGGGGCAUUCGUAUUUCGCUGUCAGAGGUGAAAUUCUUGGAUUUGCGAAAGACGAACUACUGCGAAAGCAUUUGUCAAGGACGCUUUCAUUAGUCAAGGACGAAAGUCGGGGGAUCGAAGACGAUUAGAUACCGUCGUAGUCUCGACCAUAAACGAUGCCAAUUAGGGAUCGGAGGGUGGUUUUCUUAUGCCUCCUCCGGCACCUUCCGCGAAAGCAAAAUCUAUGGGCUUCGGGGGGAGUAUGGUCGCAAGGCUGAAACUUAAAGGAAUUGACGGAACGGCACCACCAGGCGUGGAGCCUGCGGCUUAAUUUGACUCAACACGGGAAAACUUACCAGGUCCAGACAAAAUUAGGAUUUACAGAUUGAUAGCUCUUUAAAGAUUUUUUGGAUGGUGGUGCAUGGCCGUUCUUAGUUCGUGGAUUGAUUUGUCAGGUUGAUUCCGGUAACGGACGAGACCCCAACCUACUAACUAUGCUCCAGUCUGAUUCCCAGCUGGCUAGCUUCUUAGAGGGACUCUCGGUGUCGAGCCGAUGGAGGUGGGGCAAUAACAGGUCUGUGAUGCCCUUAGAUGUCCUGGGCCGCACGCGCGCUACACUGAUGCAUUCAACGAGCCUACCCUUGGCCGAGAGGUCUGGGUAAUCUGUGAAACUGCAUCGUGAUGGGGCUAGAUUAUUGCAAUUAUUGAUCUUCAACGAGGAAUGCCUAGUAAGCGCGAGUCAUCAACUCGCGUUGAUUACGUCCCUGCCGUUUGUACACACCGCCCGUCGCUCCUACCGAUUGGGUGUGCUGGUGAAAUGUCCGGAUUGGGCAGCUCCCCGGUUUUCGGGGUACUGCCCGAGAAGCUCAUUGAACCCUCUCACCUAGAGGAAGGAGAAGUCGUAACAAGGU
RNAcentral lists this ribosomal RNA (1741 nucleotides) under Wittrockiella lyallii. RNAcentral's name for it is "SSU rRNA". It matches the Rfam family "Eukaryotic small subunit ribosomal RNA". Lineage: Eukaryota; Viridiplantae; Chlorophyta; Ulvophyceae; Cladophorales; Pithophoraceae. The record is from RNAcentral.